UACGGAGGGUGCAAACGUUGCUCGGACUCACUGGGCGUAAAGCGCACGUAGGCGGCUCGAAAAGUCGGAUGUGAAAGCCCUGGGCUCAACCUAGGAAGUGCAUUCGAAACUGCCGAGCUUGAGUACGGGAGAGGGUUGCGGAAUUCCCGGUGUAGAGGUGAAAUUCGUAGAUAUCGGGAGGAACACCAGUGGCGAAGGCGGCAGCCUGGACCGAUACUGACGCUGAGGUGCGAAAGCGUGGGGAGCAAACAGG
This 253-nucleotide ribosomal RNA is filed under the name uncultured bacterium. RNAcentral's name for it is "partial 16S ribosomal RNA". It matches the Rfam family "Bacterial small subunit ribosomal RNA", at positions 524 to 776 of the family's 1533-position model. The record is from RNAcentral.